CGGGGAGUAAAAUAAGCAAGAAGUGGGGAAGAUGAGGACGGAGGAGGAAGGAACAGCUGAAGCAGACAUUUUUGUUUGGUGUUUCAUCAGAGACUCUCUCAGGAAUGGGGCCACCUCACAGAGUCGCACACACAACCCUUCUUUCAGAGGUUGGAAUGCAGAAAACCCAGCAGCACCAGCUCUCUCUUCAGACAAGGCUAAGAGUGCAGUGGCACAAUCAUGGCUCACCAUAGCCUGGACUUCCUGAGCUCAAGUGAUCCUUGCACCUCAGCCUCCUCAGUAGCUGGGACUACAGGUGUGCGCCACCAUGCCUAGCUAAAUCACCUUCCGG
This 331-nucleotide long non-coding RNA is filed under the name Pan troglodytes (chimpanzee). RNAcentral's name for it is "long non-coding RNA NONPTRT004250". Lineage: Eukaryota; Metazoa; Chordata; Mammalia; Primates; Hominidae. The record is from RNAcentral.